RNAcentral lists this ribosomal RNA (372 nucleotides) under uncultured organism. RNAcentral describes it as "bacterial SSU rRNA". It matches the Rfam family "Bacterial small subunit ribosomal RNA", at positions 526 to 896 of the family's 1533-position model. The record is from RNAcentral.
CGUAGGGUGCGAGCGUUAAUCGGAAUUACUGGGCGUAAAGUGUGCACAGGCGGCUCCGCAAGUCGAGUGUGAAAUCCCCGAGCUUAACUUGGGAAUUGCGCUCGAAACUACGGAACUGGAGUGUGGCAGAGGAAGGUGGAAUUCCACGUGUAGCGGUGAAAUGCGUAGAGAUGUGGAGGAACACCGAUGGCGAAGGCAGCCUUCUGGGCCAACACUGACGCUCAUGCACGAAAGCGUGGGGAGCAAACAGGAUUAGAUACCCUGGUAGUCCACGCCCUAAACGAUGAUGACUAGUUGUUGGAGGAGUUAAAUCCUUUAGUAACGCAGCUAACGCGUGAAGUCAUCCGCCUGGGGAGUACGGUCGCAAGAUUA